Molecule: ribosomal RNA, 487 nt
Filed under: Cronobacter sp. cc2498
Lineage: Bacteria; Pseudomonadati; Pseudomonadota; Gammaproteobacteria; Enterobacterales; Enterobacteriaceae
Description: bacterial SSU rRNA
Rfam family: Bacterial small subunit ribosomal RNA
Source: RNAcentral
AUUGAACGCUGGCGGCAGGCCUAACACAUGCAAGUCGAACGGUAACAGGGAGCAGCUUGCUGCUCUGCUGACGAGUGGCGGACGGGUGAGUAAUGUCUGGGAAACUGCCUGAUGGAGGGGGAUAACUACUGGAAACGGUAGCUAAUACCGCAUAACGUCUWCGGACCAAAGUGGGGGACCUUCGGGCCUCAUGCCAUCAGAUGUGCCCAGAUGGGAUUAGCUAGUAGGUGGGGUAACGGCUCACCUAGGCGACGAUCCCUAGCUGGUCUGAGAGGAUGACCAGCCACACUGGAACUGAGACACGGUCCAGACUCCUACGGGAGGCAGCAGUGGGGAAUAUUGCACAAUGGGCGCAAGCCUGAUGCAGCCAUGCCGCGUGUAUGAAGAAGGCCUUCGGGUUGUAAAGUACUUUCAGCGGGGAGGAAGGUGUUGUGGUUAAUAACCRCAGCAAUUGACGUUACCCGCAGAAGAAGCACCGGCUAACUCC